GGUUAAGCGACUAAGCGUACACGGUGGAUGCCCUGGCAGUCAGAGGCGAUGAAGGACGUGCUAAUCUGCGAUAAGCGUCGGUAAGGUGAUAUGAACCGUUAUAACCGGCGAUUUCCGAAUGGGGAAACCCAGUGUGUUUCGACACACUAUCAUUAACUGAAUCCAUAGGUUAAUGAGGCGAACCGGGGGAACUGAAACAUCUAAGUACCCCGAGGAAAAGAAAUCAACCGAGAUUCUCCCAGUAGCGGCGAGCGAACGGGGAGCAGCCCAGAGCCUGAAUCAGUGUGUGUGUUAGUGGAAGCGUCUGGAAAGGCGCGCGAUACAGGGUGACAGCCCCGUACACAAAAAUGCACAUGCUGUGAGCUCGAUGAGUAGGGCGGGACACGUGGUAUCCUGUCUGAAUAUGGGGGGACCAUCCUCCAAGGCUAAAUACUCCUGACUGACCGAUAGUGAACCAGUACCGUGAGGGAAAGGCGAAAAGAACCCCGGCGAGGGGAGUGAAAAAGAACCUGAAACCGUGUACGUACAAGCAGUGGGAGCACGCUUAGGCGUGUGACUGCGUACCUUUUGUAUAAUGGGUCAGCGACUUAUAUUCUGUAGCAAGGUUAACCGAAUAGGGGAGCCGAAGGGAAACCGAGUCUUAACUGGGCGUUAAGUUGCAGGGUAUAGACCCGAAACCCGGUGAUCUAGCCAUGGGCAGGUUGAAGGUUGGGUAACACUAACUGGAGGACCGAACCGACUAAUGUUGAAAAAUUAGCGGAUGACUUGUGGCUGGGGGUGAAAGGCCAAUCAAACCGGGAGAUAGCUGGUUCUCCCCGAAAGCUAUUUAGGUAGCGCCUCGUGAAUUCAUCUCCGGGGGUAGAGCACUGUUUCGGCAAGGGGGUCAUCCCGACUUACCAACCCGAUGCAAACUGCGAAUACCGGAGAAUGUUAUCACGGGAGACACACGGCGGGUGCUAACGUCCGUCGUGAAGAGGGAAACAACCCAGACCGCCAGCUAAGGUCCCAAAGUCAUGGUUAAGUGGGAAACGAUGUGGGAAGGCCCAGACAGCCAGGAUGUUGGCUUAGAAGCAGCCAUCAUUUAAAGAAAGCGUAAUAGCUCACUGGUCGAGUCGGCCUGCGCGGAAGAUGUAACGGGGCUAAACCAUGCACCGAAGCUGCGGCAGCGACACUAUGUGUUGUUGGGUAGGGGAGCGUUCUGUAAGCCUGUGAAGGUGUGCUGUGAGGCAUGCUGGAGGUAUCAGAAGUGCGAAUGCUGACAUAAGUAACGAUAAAGCGGGUGAAAAGCCCGCUCGCCGGAAGACCAAGGGUUCCUGUCCAACGUUAAUCGGGGCAGGGUGAGUCGACCCCUAAGGCGAGGCCGAAAGGCGUAGUCGAUGGGAAACAGGUUAAUAUUCCUGUACUUGGUGUUACUGCGAAGGGGGGACGGAGAAGGCUAUGUUGGCCGGGCGACGGUUGUCCCGGUUUAAGCGUGUAGGCUGGUUUUCCAGGCAAAUCCGGAAAAUCAAGGCUGAGGCGUGAUGACGAGGCACUACGGUGCUGAAGCAACAAAUGCCCUGCUUCCAGGAAAAGCCUCUAAGCAUCAGGUAACAUCAAAUCGUACCCCAAACCGACACAGGUGGUCAGGUAGAGAAUACCAAGGCGCUUGAGAGAACUCGGGUGAAGGAACUAGGCAAAAUGGUGCCGUAACUUCGGGAGAAGGCACGCUGAUAUGUAGGUGAAGUCCCUCGCGGAUGGAGCUGAAAUCAGUCGAAGAUACCAGCUGGCUGCAACUGUUUAUUAAAAACACAGCACUGUGCAAACACGAAAGUGGACGUAUACGGUGUGACGCCUGCCCGGUGCCGGAAGGUUAAUUGAUGGGGUUAGCCGCAAGGCGAAGCUCUUGAUCGAAGCCCCGGUAAACGGCGGCCGUAACUAUAACGGUCCUAAGGUAGCGAAAUUCCUUGUCGGGUAAGUUCCGACCUGCACGAAUGGCGUAAUGAUGGCCAGGCUGUCUCCACCCGAGACUCAGUGAAAUUGAACUCGCUGUGAAGAUGCAGUGUACCCGCGGCAAGACGGAAAGACCCCGUGAACCUUUACUAUAGCUUGACACUGAACAUUGAGCCUUGAUGUGUAGGAUAGGUGGGAGGCUUUGAAGUGUGGACGCCAGUCUGCAUGGAGCCGACCUUGAAAUACCACCCUUUAAUGUUUGAUGUUCUAACGUUGACCCGUAAUCCGGGUUGCGGACAGUGUCUGGUGGGUAGUUUGACUGGGGCGGUCUCCUCCUAAAGAGUAACGGAGGAGCACGAAGGUUGGCUAAUCCUGGUCGGACAUCAGGAGGUUAGUGCAAUGGCAUAAGCCAGCUUGACUGCGAGCGUGACGGCGCGAGCAGGUGCGAAAGCAGGUCAUAGUGAUCCGGUGGUUCUGAAUGGAAGGGCCAUCGCUCAACGGAUAAAAGGUACUCCGGGGAUAACAGGCUGAUACCGCCCAAGAGUUCAUAUCGACGGCGGUGUUUGGCACCUCGAUGUCGGCUCAUCACAUCCUGGGGCUGAAGUAGGUCCCAAGGGUAUGGCUGUUCGCCAUUUAAAGUGGUACGCGAGCUGGGUUUAGAACGUCGUGAGACAGUUCGGUCCCUAUCUGCCGUGGGCGCUGGAGAACUGAGGGGGGCUGCUCCUAGUACGAGAGGACCGGAGUGGACGCAUCACUGGUGUUCGGGUUGUCAUGCCAAUGGCACUGCCCGGUAGCUAAAUGCGGAAGAGAUAAGUGCUGAAAGCAUCUAAGCACGAAACUUGCCCCGAGAUGAGUUCUCCCUGACUCCUUGAGAGUCCUGAAGGAACGUUGAAGACGACGACGUUGAUAGGCCGGGUGUGUAAGCGCAGCGAUGCGUUGAGCUAACCGGUACUAAUGAACCGUGAGGCUUAACCUU
This 2905-nucleotide ribosomal RNA is filed under the name Escherichia coli. RNAcentral's name for it is "23S ribosomal RNA". It matches the Rfam family "Bacterial large subunit ribosomal RNA". Lineage: Bacteria; Pseudomonadati; Pseudomonadota; Gammaproteobacteria; Enterobacterales; Enterobacteriaceae. The record is from RNAcentral.